CUAUUUUCGUGCUAAAUUUUGAAAAACAAAAAAAAAGAAUGCAACACAUAAUAUAGGUAUGACUGAAAAAAUAAGCUAUAACUGCAGAGGUAGAGUUAGGAUUUGGAGUCUGUGAGUUCUAAAUAAAAUAAAGCAUAGAACUGCGAAGUUAGGAUUUGGAGUCUGUGAGUUCUAAAUAAAAUAAAGCAUAGAACUGCGAAGUUAGGAUUUGGAGUCUGUAGAUUCUGAAUAAAAUGAAGUAUAGAAAAUCAAAAAACAGUAUAUGCUACUAGUGGAAACUGCGGUGCUAGGAUUUGGAGUCUGUGGGUUCUGACAGUAUAUGCUAUUAGUGGGAACUGGAGUCUGUGGGUUCUGACAGUAUAUGCUAUUAGUGGGAACUGGAAAGUUAGGAUUUGAAGUCUCUGGGUUCUAAAUAAAAUGAAGUAUAGAAAAUCAAAAAACAGUAUAUGCUGCUAGUGGGAUUUGAACCCACGUCUGCAACAAAAGAAAAGCUUUAAUAGUGGUCCAUUUACCAUUGGGCUAAGUAACAAUAUUUGUCAAUGAAUUUGCACUAUAUAAUUAUAUACAUAUAUUCUGAAUUUAAUAUUAUAAAUAUAGGAUCAACAUAAAAACUACUGGAUUCGCCCGAACCCACGUAGGACACUGUGCUCUACCCUGGCUAUAAGACGAACUUUUUUUAUCAGUAGACGUCCGGAUAUAAAUUCCAAACUUUUUAUUUAAUUAUUUAUACUAUAUAAUAAGCCAAUUUUUUUAUACUACUAAGGGCAUUUCGAUAACUACAAUAUGGAUAAAAAUCAAUCCACCUGUUGAAAUAGAAACACAACACGUCACACAUUGUUACUGUGCAUGUGUCAUUUUGAGGAUUUUGGUUUCUUCUUUCCAAUAUCACCUUAAUUAGAUGAUUUUCAUCCCUCUUCGGUCAUGCUUCUUCCUCGGUGCAACGAUUUUGCUCUUCGUUCUUUUUCUAAUCUCUCACAUGGCUUAUAUUUUGAGCUUAGAGGAAACCAAGUGGGGAAACUUGAAGUUGCAAAUAUAAAGUAAAG
Capsicum annuum is the source of this 1043-nucleotide long non-coding RNA. RefSeq lists it as uncharacterized. The transcript is spliced from 2 exons. NCBI's taxonomy places the organism in Eukaryota, Viridiplantae, Streptophyta, Magnoliopsida, Solanales, Solanaceae. The record is from RefSeq and is a predicted model, not a curated record.